GGGCACUUGGCACAGUGGUAGCGCGCCUGCUUUGCAUUACAUAAUGCCUGCAUGAGGUCGUGGGUUCAAUCCCCACAGUGUCCA
Non-coding RNA from Cerrena zonata, 84 nucleotides. NCBI's taxonomy places the organism in Eukaryota, Fungi, Basidiomycota, Agaricomycetes, Polyporales, Cerrenaceae. The record is from the annotation of a GenBank genome assembly.